UACGUAGGGUGCGAGCGUUAAUCGGAAUUACUGGGCGUAAAGCGUGCGCAGGCGGUUUUGUAAGCCAGAUGUGAAAGCCCCGGGCUUAACCUGGGAAUGGCAUUUGGGACUGCAAGGCUUGAGUGCGGCAGAGGAGACUGGAAUUCCUGGUGUAGCAGUGAAAUGCGUAGAUAUCAGGAGGAAUACCGAUGGCGAAGGCAGGUCUCUGGGCCGAUACUGACGCUGAGGAGCGAGAGCGUGGGGAGCGAACAGG
Molecule: ribosomal RNA, 253 nt
Filed under: uncultured bacterium
Lineage: Bacteria
Description: partial 16S ribosomal RNA
Rfam family: Bacterial small subunit ribosomal RNA
Source: RNAcentral